UUUAAUCUUAACACUUUACUUGCUAAAAUAUUAAAAGAUAUGGUCUCCAAAUUUAAAGGAUUUGGCGGUAAUUUAGCCCAGUUAGAGGAACCUGUUUCUUAAACGAUACACCACGCAAAAUCUUACCUAUUUUCAGUUUGUAUACCGUCAUUAUUAGAUAACUUUUAAAAAAUUAGUUAUUAAAAUAAAAAAUUUUAAUAUAUUAGAUCAAGGUGCAGCUUAUAUUUAGGAAUUUAAUGGGUUACAAUAAAACUAAUUUAUACGGAUAAUUUCCUUAAAAGUUUUUUGAAGGAGGAUUUAAUAGUAAAAUUAAUUUAAUAAGUUAUUUUGAUAAAGGAUCUAAAUUGUGUACAUAUCGCCCGUCACUUUCAUUACCAAAUGAAAUAAGUCGUAACAUAG
This 399-nucleotide ribosomal RNA is filed under the name Cheramus sp. GMX RR-2008. RNAcentral's name for it is "partial 12S ribosomal RNA". Lineage: Eukaryota; Metazoa; Arthropoda; Malacostraca; Decapoda; Callianassidae. The record is from RNAcentral.